RNAcentral lists this ribosomal RNA (253 nucleotides) under uncultured bacterium. RNAcentral's name for it is "partial 16S ribosomal RNA". It matches the Rfam family "Bacterial small subunit ribosomal RNA", at positions 524 to 776 of the family's 1533-position model. The record is from RNAcentral.
UACAGAGACCUCGAGCGUUAUCCGGAUUUAUUGGGCGUAAAGCGCGCCUAGGCGGGUUUGUUAGUCAAAUGUCAAAUCUCCUGACUUAAUCGGGAAACUGCAUUUGAAACGGCAAAUCUUGAGGACACGAGAGACCAGUGGAACAUAUGGUGUAGCAGUGAAAUGCGUUGAUAUCAUAUGGAACACCAAAGGCGAAAGCAUCUGGUUGGCGUGUUUCUGACGCUCACGCGCGAAAGCGCGGGCAGGGAAUGGG